GAAGCAAUGCAUGUAUUUCUCGAAGAAGCCAUACAGCGUGUUUUUGGACUAUGGUGGUUAUGGCCAGAAUGAUGUUCUUAUAAAGAAAUCUAAGGCGAGGGUGCAUCCUGAAGCCUGCCUUCACAAUUGUCUGUGACAGAAGUAGCCAAUGCUUUCUCCUUUUCAUUAGGGGGGCUAUCAGUGUUAAGGAGCGGUUGACAGCAGCAACUGGCGCAGAGGUUCCAUUUCAUCACGUUGUGGUCCAGGAAGGUCGUGUCUCCAACCUAGUGUUGGGUUACGCUCACUGUGGAAUGGUUGUAGCAGCUCGAUGGAUUGCAAAACAAGCCAUUCCUUGCCUGAGUAAAGCAAUCGAGCAAUUCCCAGAAUAUGAGGUUAAGAUCAUUGGACAUUAAAUGGGAGCUGGGAUUGCAACAAUACUAACAUACAUCCUUCGCGAGAAUGAGAAGCUGGCAUCAUCCACUUGUAUUGCAUUUGGGCCAGGUACUGCACUGAGGAGUAUAGUUUUA
Long non-coding RNA from Zea mays, 506 nucleotides. RefSeq lists it as uncharacterized. The transcript is spliced from 3 exons. The record is from RefSeq and is a predicted model, not a curated record. NCBI's taxonomy places the organism in Eukaryota, Viridiplantae, Streptophyta, Magnoliopsida, Poales, Poaceae.